UCGUCAGCUCGUGUUGUGAAAUAGUUGGGUUAAGGUACCCGCAACGAGCGCAACCCUUAUCCUUUGUUGCCAGCGGUCCGGCCGGGAACUCAAAGGAGACUGCCAGUGAUAAACUGGAGGAAGGUGGGAUGACGUCAAGUCAUCAUGGCCCUUACGACCAGGGCUACACACGUGCUACAAUGGCGCAUACAAAGAGAAGCGACCUCGCGAGAGCAAGCGGACCUCAUAAAGUGCGUCGUAGUCCGGAUUGGAGUCUGCAACUCGACUCCAUGAAGUCGGAAUCGCUAGUAAUCGUGGAUCAGAAUGCCACGGUGAAUACGUUCCCGGGCCUU
RNAcentral lists this ribosomal RNA (332 nucleotides) under uncultured Enterobacteriaceae bacterium. RNAcentral describes it as "bacterial SSU rRNA". It matches the Rfam family "Bacterial small subunit ribosomal RNA", at positions 1052 to 1382 of the family's 1533-position model. The record is from RNAcentral. Lineage: Bacteria; Pseudomonadati; Pseudomonadota; Gammaproteobacteria; Enterobacterales; Enterobacteriaceae.